RNAcentral lists this ribosomal RNA (244 nucleotides) under uncultured bacterium. RNAcentral's name for it is "partial 16S ribosomal RNA". It matches the Rfam family "Bacterial small subunit ribosomal RNA", at positions 1246 to 1500 of the family's 1533-position model. The record is from RNAcentral.
GAAGCGAGGCUGUGAAGCGGAGNAAAUCUCAAAAACCGGUCCCAGUUCGGAUUGUAGGCUGCAACUCGCCUACAUGAAGUCGGAGUUGCUAGUAAUCGCGGAUCAGAAUGCCGCGGUGAAUGCGUUCCCGGGUCUUGUACACACCGCCCGUCACACCAUGGAAGUUGGGGGCGCCCGAAGUUGCCUAAGAAAUAAGGUACCUAAGGCGAAACCAAUGACUGGGGUGAAGUCGUAACAAGGUACC